RNAcentral lists this small nucleolar RNA (73 nucleotides) under Echeneis naucrates (live sharksucker). Its description in RNAcentral is "Small nucleolar RNA SNORD61 (ENSENLG00000015420.1)". It matches the Rfam family "Small nucleolar RNA SNORD61". Rfam says of the family: U61 belongs to the C/D class of snoRNA which contain the C (UGAUGA) and D (CUGA) box motifs. Most of the members of the box C/D family function in directing site-specific 2'-O-methylation of substrate RNAs. The record is from Rfam by way of RNAcentral. Lineage: Eukaryota; Metazoa; Chordata; Actinopteri; Carangiformes; Echeneidae.
GCAAUGAUGACCAUUUUUGGUUUUGAUUAACAAUGAAAACACACAACCAAUUCCUCUAAGAAGUUCUGAGCUC